Non-coding RNA from Punica granatum (pomegranate), 1891 nucleotides. Lineage: Eukaryota; Viridiplantae; Streptophyta; Magnoliopsida; Myrtales; Lythraceae. The record is from RefSeq and is a predicted model, not a curated record.
UGGAAGACAAAGAUUCUCAGGGAGAAAUGGAACUUACUGGAAGAAGAAAGGAAGCAGGAGAGGAUGAGCAGAUGAAGAUGAAGAAGAAGACAACCCAUUUUUUUGUUCAUCAUCUCCGAGACCAUUGCUUCAGACCUGAGAUAUUCUGCAUGGAUUUGCGGAGUUUUUGCGAUACCAUGGACUGCAAUGCAGAAAUCACGUAAAGCACUGCCCUUUUUUAUGAUGAUUAAUGGUUGUGAAGCACUAUGGAAGAUAGUUUAUGAAUCUCCAGAAUCAAGGUGAGAUCUUGACCCAGAAAUGAAAAAAAUAUACAUAAAUAUAUGCAUAUAGAGUUAUAAAUCUGAAGAUGGGAUGAUGAGGAGGGGAAGAAGACAAGAACAUAGGCAUGAGGUCUCCAGGUGAAAUUAUAAUAAUGCCAGUCGGUAGUAUCUUUUGAUAAAACAAUGCUGUUAAAAUGUGCAACUUGCAGUCCCUAGUUUUGACUCAUAAUUUGCAGGACUAAAGAAAGAUAAUUUCCUUUAUAUCGGUUUCGAGAAAAGCAUCUUUAAUAUGUUUCGUUCCAAUGUUUCACGAGACGGGUGUGGGUUUCCUUAGCAAUAUAUCGCAUGUUUGAAAACUCAACGGGUUUUCUAACCCGAAAGUUACUUGAGUACUGCAUCAAGACCUUUGCUUGUGUUGAUGUAAUGCGUACUGUGUGACAGUGAGGAUUUCAUUGAAAUUCACAGCAUAAUCCUUUCUAGGUUACAAAUUUAAACAACUUGGUCUGGCAUUUAAGCCUGCUAGUGGGACCGUCUUCUGCUAACGUGUAAAGUUAAAUAUUGAAUCGGAAUUCAAAGCUGUGAUCGGAGUUGUUUAUCAACGCCAACAUUGGAGCAAAUCGAGCGAUAUGGGGGGUUUUGAUUUAAAAAAGCUCAUCUCGCAGUAGAUUUCUUCCUGCAUCUGCUUGACAAGUUUUGAGUAGUUUUUCAAGUUGUUUAAAUGAUGGCAUUAAUGGCUGAAUGAUAACUUCACGAAUGGACAUUCUCAUGAAUCCAGAGUUAAAGUUCAUCGUUUAUCUUGAGCCUGCAGGGUAGCAAUUUGGUAUGUUAGCGCAAUUAUAAGCUGUGAUGACUUUUAUGUUCGAAUGAGAAUGAACAGGUACUUGUUUAAUUGGAUCGAGUUUCACAUGAUACUUUCAAUUAACAGCUUUCUCUCCAUUUUCUCUCGCUCGACAUCUCUUGUAUGUUCUUGGCAGUGUUGGCUGUUAUUACCGAAGUGCUAAUCAAUCUGAUCAGCUCUGCUAUUCAGCUUAAUGCUAAAAGGUGCUACGUUUAUUUGCCUAAGACUUUUCCAUUAUACGGGCCAGAGCAAAUUGGAAAUGGGACUACUUUGUGCAACUCAUACAAUCUGUUUCGUGUGCCUUCUCGAUAUGGGCAGAAUUAUUGCAGCCAUGUUCAAUAUUCUCGAUAUUUGCUUGUUGCUCUAAGUCACUUCCAUGUUCCAAGCGAUAGCUCGGAAUCAUAUCCUAACUGAUGGUCAUUGGUCCAUCUACGCCUCAUCUUGACAGGGAAGGCUUACCGGCUUUCUGAAUACAGAUGGAAACCAUGGCUUAUGGACCUCAUCGAAUUAAAAUGGAAAAACAGGUGGAAGGGAGAACAAACGGAAGAUGGUGACAGUAGCAGUAAAUUGUGGGAGCUAUAAGAAAUAGAUUGCUGAUCAGAAUUAGUUCUUCAGAAAUUUUUGGGUUGCGCCCGACAGACUGAUACAUCUUACAUGUCAUCAGCUGAAACUACGUCGACAAGUAUUAUCCUUACAAUGGUGUUUCUUUUCGUUUGCAAGUCCCUUUGAUGCUGUACUGAUAUACCUCGUACAGAAUUCGCAUAUAUAACUUGUCGAAUUGCAGUUCACAUAA